This is a non-coding RNA of Triticum aestivum (bread wheat), 135 nucleotides long. NCBI's taxonomy places the organism in Eukaryota, Viridiplantae, Streptophyta, Magnoliopsida, Poales, Poaceae. The record is from Rfam.
AAUAUACUUCCUCCAUCCCAAAAUUCUUGUCUUAGAUUUGUCUAGAUAUAGAUAUAUCAAGUCACAUUUUAGUAUUAGAUGCAUCCGUAUCUAGACAAAUCUAAGACAAGAAAUUUGGGACAGAGGGAGUACAUA